RNAcentral lists this transfer RNA (71 nucleotides) under Osteolaemus osborni. RNAcentral describes it as "Osteolaemus tetraspis osborni tRNA-Glu". It matches the Rfam family "tRNA". Rfam says of the family: Transfer RNA (tRNA) molecules are approximately 80 nucleotides in length. Their secondary structure includes four short double-helical elements and three loops (D, anti-codon, and T loops). Further hydrogen bonds mediate the characteristic L-shaped molecular structure. tRNAs have two regions of fundamental functional importance: the anti-codon, which is responsible for specific mRNA codon recognition, and the 3' end, to which the tRNAs corresponding amino acid is attached (by aminoacyl-tRNA synthetases). tRNAs cope with the degeneracy of the genetic code in two manners: having more than one tRNA (with a specific anti-codon) for a particular amino acid; and 'wobble' base-pairing, i.e. permitting non-standard base-pairing at the 3rd anti-codon position. The record is from RNAcentral. Lineage: Eukaryota; Metazoa; Chordata; Crocodylia; Crocodylidae.
GUUUUUAUAGCUGAAAGUACAGCGAGGGUUUUUCGUGCCCUAGGUCUUGGUUUAAAAUCCGAGUGAAAAUA